This 440-nucleotide ribosomal RNA is filed under the name uncultured bacterium. RNAcentral describes it as "partial 16S ribosomal RNA". It matches the Rfam family "Bacterial small subunit ribosomal RNA", at positions 338 to 795 of the family's 1533-position model. The record is from RNAcentral.
CCUACGGUGAGCUGCAGUGGGGGAUAUUGCACAAUGGGGGAAACCCUGAUGCAGCGACGCCGCGUGUGGGAAGACGGUCCUCUGGAUUGUAAACCACUGUCCCCAGGGACGAAAAUGACGGUACCUGGGGAGGAAGCUCCGGCUAACUACGUGCCAGCAGCAGCGGUAAUACGUAGGGAGCGAGCGUUGUCCGGAAUUACUGGGUGUAAAGGGAGCGUAGGUGGGGAUGCAAGUUGGGUGUCAAAACUACCGGCUCAACUGGUAGUCGCACUCAAAACUGCAGCUCUUGAGUGAAGUAGAGGCAGGCGGAAUUCCUAGUGUAGCGGUGAAAUGCGUAGAUAUUAGGAGGAACACCAGUGGCGAAGGCGGCUCACUGGACUGUAACUGACGUUGAGGCUCGAAAGCGUGGGGAGCAACCAGGAUUAGAUAUCCCGGUAGUC